RNAcentral lists this small RNA (245 nucleotides) under Arabidopsis thaliana (thale cress). RNAcentral's name for it is "ATSL058340". The record is from RNAcentral. Lineage: Eukaryota; Viridiplantae; Streptophyta; Magnoliopsida; Brassicales; Brassicaceae.
UUACCAGCAAAAUACAUAUAAUAUUUUUUUAUUUGUUUUUAAAGAUUUUAGAUAAUGAAACAUUUCAUGUGUUAUAAACACGUUAUCCGUGAUAGCUCUCUUAGUAACAAAUGUAGGUAAUAUACACGGUUAUAACGGUUAUAACAGUGAAUAAUGAUAACGAUAAUGGUGACUUGGUAGUGGACAUGACUGUGUAAUAAUAUAGGUGAUAGCUGUUAGAAUAGAAUAGAAAUACAAGAAAAAAA